This 125-nucleotide non-coding RNA is filed under the name Pediococcus pentosaceus. RNAcentral describes it as "FMN sequence". It matches the Rfam family "FMN riboswitch aptamer (RFN element)". Rfam says of the family: The RFN element is a highly conserved domain that is found frequently in the 5'-untranslated regions of prokaryotic mRNAs that encode for flavin mononucleotide (FMN) biosynthesis and transport proteins. Lineage: Bacteria; Bacillati; Bacillota; Bacilli; Lactobacillales; Lactobacillaceae. The record is from RNAcentral.
GUUCAUCUUCAAGGGGCAGGGUGCGAUUCCCGACCGGUGGUAAAGUCCAUGAGCUGUCAUUCGUGAUGGCUGAUUCGGUGAAAUUCCGAAACCGAUAGUUAAAGUCUAGAUAAAGGAAGAUUGAA